AAGAUCGAUGAUGACGACCUCAUCAGUUCUAACUUGAACGGAUUGGACUCCGAAUACAAUCUGUUUGUUUCCUCUCUAUCAGUAAAGGAAUCAUUGUCUCUAGGUGAUCUCUACGCUCAGCUUCUUUCCUUUGAAG
Small nucleolar RNA from Panicum virgatum (switchgrass), 136 nucleotides. RefSeq annotates it as small nucleolar RNA Z247. The record is from RefSeq and is a predicted model, not a curated record. Lineage: Eukaryota; Viridiplantae; Streptophyta; Magnoliopsida; Poales; Poaceae. The transcript has a single exon.